GAUGAACGCUGGCGGCGUGCCUAACACAUGCAAGUCGAACGAAGCUCCUCUGUGGAGCCCCCCGGGGCGAAGGAGAGGAUGACUGAGUGGCGGACGGGUGAGUAACGCGUGGGUAACCUGCCCUAUACAGGGGGACAACAGUUAGAAAUGACUGCUAAUACCGCAUAAGCGCACGGCAUCACAUGAUGCAGUGUGAAAAACUCCGGUGGUAUAGGAUGGGCCCGCGUCUGAUUAGUUAGUUGGCAGGGUAACGGCCUACCAAGACGACGAUCAGUAGCCGGCCUGAGAGGGUGAACGGCCACAUUGGGACUGAGACACGGCCCAAACUCC
Molecule: ribosomal RNA, 330 nt
Filed under: uncultured Coriobacteriales bacterium
Lineage: Bacteria; Bacillati; Actinomycetota; Coriobacteriia; Coriobacteriales
Description: bacterial SSU rRNA
Rfam family: Bacterial small subunit ribosomal RNA
Source: RNAcentral